GAUGAACGCUAGCGGCAGGCCUAACACAUGCAAGUCGAGGGGUAGAGGAAGCUUGCUUCCUUGAGACCGGCGCACGGGUGCGUAACGCGUAUGCAAUCUACCUUAUACAGGGGAAUAGCCCAGAGAAAUUUGGAUUAAUGCCCCAUGGUAUUACGAAAUCGCAUGGUUUUGUAAUUAAAGUUCCAACGGUAUAAGAUGAGCAUGCGUCCCAUUAGUUAGUUGGUAAGGUAACGGCUUACCAAGACGAUGAUGGGUAGGGGUCCUGAGAGGGAGAUCCCCCACACUGGUACUGAGACACGGACCAGACUCCUACGGGAGGCUG
This 322-nucleotide ribosomal RNA is filed under the name uncultured Bacteroidota bacterium. RNAcentral's name for it is "bacterial SSU rRNA". It matches the Rfam family "Bacterial small subunit ribosomal RNA", at positions 28 to 351 of the family's 1533-position model. Lineage: Bacteria; Pseudomonadati; Bacteroidota. The record is from RNAcentral.